RNAcentral lists this ribosomal RNA (725 nucleotides) under uncultured bacterium. Its description in RNAcentral is "bacterial SSU rRNA". It matches the Rfam family "Bacterial small subunit ribosomal RNA", at positions 35 to 750 of the family's 1533-position model. The record is from RNAcentral.
GCUGGCGGCAGGCCUAAUACAUGCAAGUCGAACGGCAGCACAGUGGAGCUUGCUCCAUGGGUGGCGAGUGGCGGACGGGUGAGGAAUACAUGGGAAUCUGCCCAGUCGUGGGGGAUAACGUAGGGAAACUUACGCUAAUACCGCAUGCGCCCUUCGGGGGAAAGCCGGGGACCUUCGGGCCUGGCGCGAUUGGAUGAGCCCAUGUCGGAUUAGCUAGUUGGCGGGGUAACGGCCCACCAAGGCGACGAUCCGUAGCUGGUCUGAGAGGAUGAUCAGCCACACUGGAACUGAGACACGGUCCAGACUCCUACGGGAGGCAGCAGUAGGGAAUAUUGGACAAUGGGCGCAAGCCUGAUCCAGCCAUGCCGCGUGAGUGAAGAAGGCCCUCGGGUUGUAAAGCUCUUUUGUCCGGAAAGAAAAGCAUCGGGUUAAUACCCCGGUGUUCUGACGGUACCGGAAGAAUAAGCACCGGCUAACUUCGUGCCAGCAGCCGCGGUAAUACGAAGGGUGCAAGCGUUACUCGGAAUUACUGGGCGUAAAGCGUGCGUAGGUGGUUCGUUAAGUCCGAUGUGAAAGCCCUGGGCUCAACCUGGGAAUGGCAUUGGAUACUGGCGGGCUAGAGUGCGGUAGAGGAUAGUGGAAUUCCUGGUGUAGCAGUGAAAUGCGUAGAGAUCAGGAGGAACAUCCGUGGCGAAGGCGACUGUCUGGACCAGCACUACACUAGC